AGAAUCAACGCUGGCGGCGUGCCUAAUACAUGCAAGUCGAACGAGAAAGUGGAGCAAUCCAUGAGUAAAGUGGCGCACGGGUGAGUAACACGUGACUAACCUACCCUUGAGUGGGGGAUAACCUAGAGAAAUCUGGGCUAAUACCGCAUAAUACCUUCGGGUCAAAGGAGCAAUUCGCUUAAGGAGGGGGUCGCGGCCGAUUAGUUAGUUGGCGGGGUAAUGGCCCACCAAGACUAUGAUCGGUAUCCGGCCUGAGAGGGCGCACGGACACACUGGAACUGAAACACGGUCCAGACUCCUACGGGAGGCAGCAGUGGGGAAUUUUGCGCAAUGGGGGAAACCCUGACGCAGCAACGCCGCGUGGAGGAUGAAGUCCCUUGGGACGUAAACUCCUUUCGAUCGGGACGAUUAUGACGGUACCGGAAGAAGAAGCCCCGGCUAACUUCGCGCCAGCAGCCGC
This 460-nucleotide ribosomal RNA is filed under the name uncultured bacterium. Its description in RNAcentral is "SSU rRNA". It matches the Rfam family "Bacterial small subunit ribosomal RNA", at positions 26 to 518 of the family's 1533-position model. The record is from RNAcentral.